RNAcentral lists this ribosomal RNA (738 nucleotides) under uncultured Desulfobacterales bacterium. Its description in RNAcentral is "bacterial SSU rRNA". It matches the Rfam family "Bacterial small subunit ribosomal RNA", at positions 57 to 772 of the family's 1533-position model. Lineage: Bacteria; Pseudomonadati; Thermodesulfobacteriota; Desulfobacteria; Desulfobacterales. The record is from RNAcentral.
GCAGCGACGCGAACGUUUCCUUCGGGAAACUAGUAGAGUGGCGCACGGGUGNGNNNCGCGUAAGUAAUCUACCCUCGCAUCUGGGAUAACCCANNUGAAAGGUGUGCUAAUACCUGAUACGUCUGGAAUUAUACUUUGAAUCUAGAGAAAGGUGGCCUCUUCAUGAAAGCUACUGUGCGGGGAGGAGCUUGCGUACCAUUAGCUAGUUGGUAGGGUAACGGCCUACCAAGGCGAUGAUGGUUAGCGGGUCUGAGAGGAUGAUCCGCCACACUGGAACUGAAACACGGACCAGACUCCUACGGGAGGCAGCAGUGAGGAAUAUUGCGCAAUGGGGGCAACCCUGACGCAGCGACGCCGCGUGGAUGAUGAAGGCCUUCGGGUUGUAAAAUCCUGUCAGAUGGGAAGAAGUGCUAUAGCGUUAAUAUCGUUAUAGUUUGACGGUACCAUCAAAGGAAGCACCGGCUAACUCCGUGCCAGCAGCCGCGGUAAUACGGAGGGUGCAAGCGUUGUUCGGAAUUACUGGGCGUAAAGCGCGCGUAGGCGGCUAUUCAAGUCAGAUGUGAAAGCCCGCGGCUCAACCGUGGAAGUGCAUUUGAAACUGUGUAGCUUGAGUACUGGAGGGGGUAGUGGAAUUCCCGGUGUAGAGGUGAAAUUCGUAGAUAUCGGGAGGAAUACCGGUGGCGAAGGCGACUACCUGGCCAGAUACUGACGCUGAGGUGCGAAAGCGUGGGGAGCAAA